AGCACUUCCGCGGGCAGUUGAAAAGAGCUGGUUUGCAUGCAGUCUUCUCUGUGUGUUUUCUGGUUUGCGGAGUUUGUUGUGGCGCGGGCGGUAGGUUGAAGAAGGUCCUUUCCAUUCCUGUGACUCUGGGAUUUGCCAACAUCCUGAUGAAGUGCACCAUGUUGUUCUUCACUCACCUGGGAAUGGAAGUAGUCAGAACUUUAAGUUAAGCUGGUGGGUUUCACAGAUGACACAUCUGGCCUAGUGUCUUGAAGACGAAGCUGUGAAGAUUCAAAGAUUGAGAGGGAAGAUAAAGAAAAACAAAGAGAUAAAAAAAAUGUCACAUCACCAGGACCAGCUACAUAAUUUGGGGGGCCCAGUGUGAAAUGAAAAUGCUUGGCCUCUUGAACAUAAAUUAUUAAGAAUUUCAAAACAGUAACAGCAGAACAAUAAACCAAGAGUGUGUUUGUGUCCUACUCACCUUGAGGCCUUAUGUCGUGGCACAGGUCACACACUCCUCAAGCUGGCCCUGCACAUCACAGUCCACCAAGGAUGUCCACUUUCAGUCAUUCACCCAGGUCACUAGCUGCUUUCAACUGAAAGGGACUGAAACCCUGAUUCAAACUGGCUUAAAUCAGGAGGAAAUAUAGACUAGCAGAAGGUUGUUCUUCAGGCACAAUGUGAACACUGGCACCCAACAUCACCAAAGGCCCGGAUUCUUUUAGGAACAAAGAUGACUUUCCCAGGAGCCUCUGGCAUUUCCGCAGCCAGAACUGGGUCCUAUGUCCAC
This 769-nucleotide long non-coding RNA is filed under the name Equus caballus (horse). RNAcentral's name for it is "lncRNA (ENSECAG00000045074.1)". The record is from RNAcentral. Lineage: Eukaryota; Metazoa; Chordata; Mammalia; Perissodactyla; Equidae.